Molecule: transfer RNA, 74 nt
Filed under: Ictidomys tridecemlineatus (thirteen-lined ground squirrel)
Lineage: Eukaryota; Metazoa; Chordata; Mammalia; Rodentia; Sciuridae
Description: Spermophilus tridecemlineatus (thirteen-lined ground squirrel) tRNA
Rfam family: tRNA
About the family: Transfer RNA (tRNA) molecules are approximately 80 nucleotides in length. Their secondary structure includes four short double-helical elements and three loops (D, anti-codon, and T loops).
Source: Rfam by way of RNAcentral
GGGGUUGUGGCUCAGUGGUAGAGUGCUUGCCUGGCAUGAAGGACAUGAAGCACUGGGUUCGAUUCCCAGCACCA